Molecule: ribosomal RNA, 487 nt
Filed under: uncultured bacterium
Lineage: Bacteria
Description: partial 16S ribosomal RNA
Rfam family: Bacterial small subunit ribosomal RNA
Source: RNAcentral
GACGAACGCUGGCGGCGUGCUUAACACAUGCAAGUCGAACGAUGAAGCUGGAGCUUGCUCCGGUGGAUUAGUGGCGAACGGGUGAGUAACACGUGAGCAAUCUGCCCUUGACUCUGGGAUAACUGCGGGAAACUGUAGCUAAUACCGGAUAUGAGGCUCGAAGGCAUCUUCGGGUCUGGAAAGAAUUUCGGUCAAGGAUGAGCUCGCGGCCUAUCAGCUUGUUGGUGAGGUAAUGGCUCACCAAGGCGACGACGGGUAGCCGGCCUGAGAGGGUGACCAGCCACACUGGGACUGAGACACGGCCCAGACUCCUACGGGUGGCUGCAGUCGAGAAUCUUCCGCAAUGGGCGAAAGCCUGACGGAGCGACGCCGCGUGCGGGAUGAAGGCCCUUGGGUUGUAAACCGCUGUCAGGGGGGAUGAAAGCCGCAAGGCUUGACAGAGCCCCAGAGGAAGCACGGGCUAAGUUCGUGCCAGCCGCCGCAGUAA